GACGGAGGGCGCUAGCGUUGUUCGGAAUCACUGGGCGUAAAGGGCGCGUAGGCGGCCUGUUAAGUCGGGGGUGAAAGCCCGGGGCUCAACCCCGGAACGGCCUUCGAGACUGGCGGGCUCGAGACCGGGAGAGGAGGGUGGAAUACCCAGUGUAGAGGUGAAAUUCGUAGAUAUUGGGUGGAACACCGGUGGCGAAAGCGGCUCUCUGGUCCGGUUCUGACGCUGAGGCGCGAAAGCGUGGGGAGCAAACAGG
This 253-nucleotide ribosomal RNA is filed under the name uncultured bacterium. RNAcentral's name for it is "partial 16S ribosomal RNA". It matches the Rfam family "Bacterial small subunit ribosomal RNA", at positions 524 to 776 of the family's 1533-position model. The record is from RNAcentral.